This 1078-nucleotide ribosomal RNA is filed under the name uncultured stramenopile. Its description in RNAcentral is "bacterial SSU rRNA". It matches the Rfam family "Eukaryotic small subunit ribosomal RNA", at positions 577 to 1674 of the family's 1831-position model. The record is from RNAcentral.
CGGUAAUUCCAGCUCCAAUAGCGUAUACUAACGUUGUUGCAGUUAAAAAGCUCGUAGUUGGAUUUCUGAUCUUUGCCAAUGGUUGUGUCGCCGCGCGCGAGGCGCCUUGCGCAGAGGUCAACAUAUGUCACGAGCCAGUGUGAUCUAUUCAUUUAGGUCCACUGGGUAAUGACUCGUUUACUUUGAGAAAAUUAGAGUGUUCAAAGCAGGCAUUUGCCUUGAAUAUGUUAGCAUGGAAUAAUAGCAUAGGACUUCGGUUCUAUUUGUUGGUUGUUCGAGAACUGGAGUAAUGAUUGAUAGGGACGGUUGGGGGCAUCCGUAUUCUCAAGCGAGAGGUGAAAUUCUUGGACCUUGGGAAGACGAACAGCUGCGAAAGCGUUUGCCUAGGACGUUCUCUUUAAUCAAGAACGAAAGUUGGGGGAUCGAAGACGAUCAGAUACCGUCGUAGUCUCAACUAUAAACUAUGCCAGCUAGGGAUCGGUGGGUCUUUGUCACGAGUCCAUCGGCACCUUACGAGAAAUCAAAGCAUUUGGGUUCCGGGGGGAGUAUGGUCGCAAGGCUGAAACUUAAAGGAAUUGACGGAAGGGCACCACCAGGAGUGGAGCCUGUGGCUUAAUUUGACUCAACACGGGAAAACUUACCAGGUCCGGACAUAGUAAGGAUUGACAGAUUGAAAGCUCUUUCUUGAUUCUAUGGGUGGUGGUGCAUGGCCGUUCUUAGUUGGUGGAGUGAUUUGUCUGGUUAAUUCCGUUAACGAACGAGACCCGCGCCUGCUAAAUAGUCGGCCUCACUUCUGUGGGUGUUGUACUUCUUAGAGGGACCAUCCUGGGUAUACCGGAAGGAAGUUGCGGGCAAUAACAGGUCUGUGAUGCCCUUAGAUGUUCUGGGCUGCACACGGGCUACACUGCAAGAUACAACAAGCGUCGAUCACGCCUGACUGGAAGGUCCGGCCAAUCUUUGAAUAUCUUGCGUGAUUGGGAUAGACCAUUGCAAUUAUUGGUCUUCAACGAGGAAUUCCUAGUAAACGCGUGUCAACAACACGCAUUGAUUACGUCCCUGCCCCUUGUACACACCGCCC